AUGCAUGAAGAUACAAGGCACACCUUCGAGCGCCAAGUACAACGACUCGCAACCAAGCUCAACGUCAACAAGCAACCCAUGAUAUUCAACAAUGGAGAUCUUGUGUGGCUACACCUUCGCAAGGACCGCUUCCCCAACGAACGCAAGUCCAAACUUUUACCACGAGCUGAUGGACCCUUCAAGGUGCUUGCACGCUACAACAACAAUGCCUACAAGAUCGACAUCCCACGCAACAAGUACUCCAUGAGCGACAUCUUCAACGUCAAAGAUCUCUCCCCGUACCAUGGUGAUGAGGAUUUCGAUCCGAGGUCGGAUCUUUCCCAAGGGAGGGGAGACGAUGCGGAGCAUCCUACGGUCAUCCCCAUGGACCUACCAUCGUCUUACCAAGAGCCAAGAGGACAUAUGACACGAGCACGAGCUAGAGCUCUCGAGAACGAGGUGACCUCUUUCCUUAGUGAUAUCACAUAUGAUCCACUCUAG
This 480-nucleotide ribosomal RNA is filed under the name Triticum aestivum (bread wheat). Its description in RNAcentral is "partial small subunit ribosomal RNA". The record is from RNAcentral. Lineage: Eukaryota; Viridiplantae; Streptophyta; Magnoliopsida; Poales; Poaceae.